Molecule: transfer RNA, 69 nt
Filed under: Fukomys damarensis (Damara mole-rat)
Lineage: Eukaryota; Metazoa; Chordata; Mammalia; Rodentia; Bathyergidae
Rfam family: tRNA
About the family: Transfer RNA (tRNA) molecules are approximately 80 nucleotides in length. Their secondary structure includes four short double-helical elements and three loops (D, anti-codon, and T loops).
Source: Rfam by way of RNAcentral
GGAUAUGUAGCUCAGUGGUGGAGAACGUGCUUGGUAUGCAGGAGGCCUAGGGUUCAAUCCCUAGCACCA